AUCGAACGCUGGCGGCAUGCCUUACACAUGCAAGUCGAACGGCAGCACGGGAGCAAUCCUGGUGGCGAGUGGCGAACGGGUGAGUAAUAUAUCGGAACGUGCCCGGUCGUGGGGGAUAACGUAGCGAAAGCUACGCUAAUACCGCAUACGAUCUACGGAUGAAAGCGGGGGAUCGCAAGACCUCGCGCGAUUGGAGCGGCCGAUAUCAGAUUAGGUAGUUGGUGAGGUAAAGGCUCACCAAGCCGACGAUCUGUAGCUGGUCUGAGAGGACGACCAGCCACACUGGGACUGAGACACGGCCCAGACUCCUACGGGAGGCAGCAGUGGGGAAUUUUGGACAAUGGGCGCAAGCCUGAUCCAGCAAUGCCGCGUGCAGGAUGAAGGCC
This 386-nucleotide ribosomal RNA is filed under the name uncultured bacterium. Its description in RNAcentral is "bacterial SSU rRNA". It matches the Rfam family "Bacterial small subunit ribosomal RNA", at positions 29 to 416 of the family's 1533-position model. The record is from RNAcentral.